Molecule: ribosomal RNA, 253 nt
Filed under: uncultured bacterium
Lineage: Bacteria
Description: partial 16S ribosomal RNA
Rfam family: Bacterial small subunit ribosomal RNA
Source: RNAcentral
UACGUAGGUGACAAGCGUUGUCCGGAUUUACUGGGCGUAAAGAGCGCGCAGGCGGUCGUUCAAGUCGAGUGUGAAAGCCCCCGGCUCAACUGGGGAGGGUCAUUCGAUACUGAUCGACUCGAAGGCAGGAGAGGGAAGUGGAAUUCCCGGUGUAGUGGUGAAAUGCGUAGAUAUCGGGAGGAACACCAGUGGCGAAGGCGACUUCCUGGACCAGAACUGACGAUCAGGCUCGAAAGCGUGGGGAGCAAACAGG